RNAcentral lists this ribosomal RNA (241 nucleotides) under uncultured bacterium. RNAcentral describes it as "partial 16S ribosomal RNA". It matches the Rfam family "Bacterial small subunit ribosomal RNA", at positions 92 to 334 of the family's 1533-position model. The record is from RNAcentral.
CGACCGGCGCACGGGUGAGUAACACGUAUCCAACCUGCCUCAUACUCGGGGAUAGCCUUUCGAAAGAAAGAUUAAUAUCCGAUAGCAUAUAUUUCCCGCAUGGGUUUUAUAUUAAAGAAAUUCGGUAUGAGAUGGGGAUGCGUUCCAUUAGUUUGUUGGGGGGGUAACGGCCCACCAAGACUACGAUCAGUAGCCGACCUGAGAGGGUGACCGGCCACAUUGGGACUGAGACACGGCCCAG